This 482-nucleotide ribosomal RNA is filed under the name uncultured bacterium. RNAcentral describes it as "bacterial SSU rRNA". It matches the Rfam family "Bacterial small subunit ribosomal RNA", at positions 39 to 507 of the family's 1533-position model. The record is from RNAcentral.
AGCUACAGGCUUAACACAUGCAAGGUCGAGGGGCAGCGGGGAGGAUGCUCGCAUUCGUCCGCCGGCGACCGGCGCACGGGUGAGUAACGCGUAUCGAACCUGCCUCAUACCCGGGGACAGCCUUGCGAAAGCAAGAUUAAUGCCCGAUGUUCCGCGUUUGCCGCAUGGCAAAUUCGGCAAAGAUUUAUUGGUAAAGGAUGGCGAUGCGUCCCAUUAGUUAGUUGGCGGGGUAACGGCCCACCAAGACGACGAUGGGUAGGGGUUCUGAGAGGAAGGUCCCCCACAUUGGAACUGAGACACGGUCCAAACUCCUACGGGAGGCAGCAGUGAGGAAUAUUGGUCAAUGGGCGGAAGCCUGAACCAGCCAAGUAGCGUGCAGGAAGACGGCCCUAUGGGUUGUAAACUGCUUUCAGUCGGGAAUAAUUCGUCGGUCGUGACCGGCGUUGCAGGUACCGUCAUAAGAAGGACCGGCUAAUUCCGUG